GUGACCUCAAAUCAGGUAGGACUACCCGCUGAACUUAAGCAUAUCAAUAAGCGGAGGAAAAGAAACUAACAAGGAUUCCCCUAGUAACUGCGAGUGAAGCGGGAAAAGCUCAAAUUUAAAAUCUGUCAGUCUUUGGCUGUCCGAGUUGUAAUCUAGAGAAGCGUCGUCCGUGCUGGACCGUGUACAAGUCUCCUGGAAUGGAGCGUCAUAGAGGGUGAGAAUCCCGUCUUUGACACGGACUGCCAGGGCUUUGUGAUGCGCUCUCAAAGAGUCGAGUUGUUUGGGAAUGCAGCUCAAAAUGGGUGGUAAAUUCCAUCUAAAGCUAAAUAUUGGCGAGAGACCGAUAGCGAACAAGUACCGUGAGGGAAAGAUGAAAAGAACUUUGGAAAGAGAGUUAAACAGUACGUGAAAUUGCUGAAAGGGAAACGCUUGAAGUCAGUCAUGUUGUCCAGGGAUCAACCUUGCUUUUGCUUGGUGUACUUUCUGGUUGACGGGUCAGCAUCAAUUUUGACUAUUGGAAAAAGAUUGAGGGAAUGUGGCAUCUUUGGAUGUGUUAUAGCCCUUGGUUGCAUACAAUGGUUGAGAUUGAGGAACUCAGCAUGCCGCAAGGCCGGGUUUUUAACCACGUACGUGCUAGGAUGCUGCU
Molecule: ribosomal RNA, 646 nt
Filed under: Cortinarius vanduzerensis
Lineage: Eukaryota; Fungi; Basidiomycota; Agaricomycetes; Agaricales; Cortinariaceae
Description: eukaryotic LSU rRNA
Rfam family: Eukaryotic large subunit ribosomal RNA
Source: RNAcentral